UACGAAGGGGGCUAGCGUUGCUCGGAAUCACUGGGCGUAAAGCGCACGUAGGCGGCUUUCUAAGUCAGGGGUGAAAUCCUGGAGCUCAACUCCAGAACUGCCUUUGAUACUGGAGAGCUUGAGUCCGGAAGAGGUGAGUGGAACUCCUAGUGUAGAGGUGGAAUUCGUAGAUAUUAGGAAGAACACCAGUGGCGAAGGCGGCUCACUGGUCCGGUACUGACGCUGAGGUGCGAAAGCGUGGGGAGCAAACAGG
Molecule: ribosomal RNA, 253 nt
Filed under: uncultured bacterium
Lineage: Bacteria
Description: partial 16S ribosomal RNA
Rfam family: Bacterial small subunit ribosomal RNA
Source: RNAcentral